GACGUAGGGCGCGAGCGUUGUCCGGAUUUAUUGGGCGUAAAGAGCUCGUAGGCGGCUCGUUGCGUCGGCUGUGAAAACCCGCAGCUCAACUGUGGGCUUGCAGCCGAUACGGGCGGGCUGGAGUUCAGUAGGGGAGACUGGAAUUCCUGGUGUAGCGGUGAAAUGCGCAGAUAUCAGGAGGAACACCGGUGGCGAAGGCGGGUCUCUGGGCCGAUACUGACGCUGAGGAGCGAAAGCGUGGGGAGCGAACAGG
RNAcentral lists this ribosomal RNA (253 nucleotides) under uncultured bacterium. RNAcentral describes it as "partial 16S ribosomal RNA". It matches the Rfam family "Bacterial small subunit ribosomal RNA", at positions 524 to 776 of the family's 1533-position model. The record is from RNAcentral.